This 253-nucleotide ribosomal RNA is filed under the name uncultured bacterium. RNAcentral's name for it is "partial 16S ribosomal RNA". It matches the Rfam family "Bacterial small subunit ribosomal RNA", at positions 524 to 776 of the family's 1533-position model. The record is from RNAcentral.
UACGUAGGGUGCGAGCGUUGUCCGGAAUUAUUGGGCGUAAAGGGCUCGUAGGCGGUUUGUCGCGUCGGGAGUGAAAACACCGGGCUUAACUCGGUGCUUGCUUUCGAUACGGGCAGACUAGAGGCAUGCAGGGGAGAACGGAAUUCCUGGUGUAGCGGUGAAAUGCGCAGAUAUCAGGAGGAACACCGGUGGCGAAGGCGGUUCUCUGGGCAUGUCCUGACGCUGAGGAGCGAAAGCGUGGGGAGCAAACGGG